This 496-nucleotide ribosomal RNA is filed under the name uncultured bacterium. Its description in RNAcentral is "partial 16S ribosomal RNA". It matches the Rfam family "Bacterial small subunit ribosomal RNA", at positions 28 to 506 of the family's 1533-position model. The record is from RNAcentral.
GAUGAACGCUGGCGGCGUGCCUAAUACAUGCAAGUCGAGCGAACGGACGAGAAGCUUGCUUCUCUGAUGUUAGCGGCGGACGGGUGAGUAACACGUGGAUAACCUACCUAUAAGACUGGGAUAACUUCGGGAAACCGGAGCUAAUACCGGAUAAUAUUUUGAACCGCAUGGUUCAAAAGUGAAAGGCGGUCUUGCUGUCACUUAUAGAUGGAUCCGCGCUGCAUUAGCUAGUUGGUAAGGUAACGGCUUACCAAGGCAACGAUGCAUAGCCGACCUGAGAGGGGGAUCGGCCACACUGGAACUGAGACACGGUCCAGACUCCUACGGGAGGCAGCAGUAGGGAAUCUUCCGCAAUGGGCGAAAGCCUGACGGAGCAACGCCGCGUGAGUGAUGAAGGUCUUCGGAUCGUAAAACUCUGUUAUUAGGGAAGAACAUAUGUGUAAGUAACUGUGCACAUCUUGACGGUACCUAAUCAGAAAGCCACGGCUAACUACGU